Tetranychus urticae (two-spotted spider mite) is the source of this 2064-nucleotide non-coding RNA. NCBI's taxonomy places the organism in Eukaryota, Metazoa, Arthropoda, Arachnida, Trombidiformes, Tetranychidae. The record is from RefSeq and is a predicted model, not a curated record.
UAACUGUUAAUUAUUACUAUAAAUUGUUUCUGUUAUUUUUUGUCUAUUAAUUUUCUGAUAUUUACAUAUUUUUUACACCCAAUUAUUUGUUUAUUAAUGAAGGUUUUAAUGGUCAAAACUGAGGAUUGUGAAUACAUUGUGGCUCUGUAUGAGUGUCAAAAGAUAUGGUUUGCCUUCAUCAAAGAUGGACUUGUAUGAAAAAACUGAGCAACUAGACAAAUUCACAAGAUCAAUCCGCUGAAUAAUGGACAUCGUGUGUGUUAGUUUUCAACAAGAGUGGACGUAUUGGUGGUGACAUACUUCAACCAAUUGAUGAUAACCGUUUAAUUUGGUGAAUUGCCAAAAUUUGUCCGUGUCAAAGAUUGAUGUGGUUACCAAAAAGGAUCGUCUGCUUCACGUUUAGGAAACCUCGAUGCUUUAAGAUAUUUCCCGCUCCUUGGACAGAUCUCUCACAUGACUGAAUUCAUGUUAUGUUCUAUAAGUUAUGCAUUCCUUUUACUGAACACGAAGGCCUCUACAUUUUUCACCCAAUGUGAGUCGAUACUCAAGCUGUCCACUUGUUCAUUACUCCUCGCUGCAUUUUUGGUAGGCUACAGCAGUAAUGUGGUAUAACAUGGUUCCGAUGAGACAAUUGGUCAAAAAGAAUCAAGAUAAGUCCGAUUUUAUGAUAAUUUGAAUAUUAAUUACCUUUUAAUGUGUCUAUAAUUGCAAUUAAUGAGUUUUUUAUUUUCUUUUAUUGUUAAAAUCUUAAACUAUUGUGUUUUAUGAUCAUCUUAAAGUCUGCCUACUAGAUUUUAUUCAGAUUGCACUGAACUUUUACUGCUGGAAUCAACAGUUAAAUCUAUUCAAUUGUUCAACUCAUUAUGGAGGUGUGUGUAUCACAUGGAUGCUACAAAUGUUAUAAUGGCGUAUUUAAGUCGAUUGUUGGUAAACUUGUUCUCGUCUAUAUGACUUUAAGGAUUUGGAAAGAAACAAGAUAUUUCGUUAAGCCGAUUAGAUGAUUGAAUUGAGUGUUGUCUGUGAAACGGAGCUCAUUACAAAUUUGUAUUGCAAAUGGAUUUUGGUCUAUAAAAUACCUUUUCAAGGCAAAAGCUCAUGGAAUCAACUUGAAAAUCAUUGAUUUUAAUGUACUUAAAAACGUGAACAUUAAAACUGGCUGAGGAUGAAUGGUAAAGGGAAAGCUUUCAAUUCAACUUGAAACCCAUCAAAAUGAUCCUCAAUCGUAUGGGCCAGCAAAAAAAAGAUUUCGCUCGGAUGAAAAUUAAUGAUCCUAAUAAUGACAAUCCCUGGUUGAUUGUUGAUCAACAACUUAACCCAGUUUGCUUUUCAAUGCUCAAUUGAAUGUAUUGUGUGAGUGUGUUGCCAUUGUUAACAUAUUCAAUUGCUAAUUUGACUUACCUCUGUAACUUAAAAUCAUUGUUAACCAAGCAUUCCUAACUGUAACCAUAUUAUUGUUAAUAUAAUUUUAAUCUUAUUAUUUAAGGUUAAUGACAUUCCUCUUGGUGAUUAAACCAACAGACUUGAUCAAUUACAAAAUGGUAGCAUCAAGUGUCUCAAUUGAUAUGGAAAAGUUGCUCAUUUUACUGUUUACAGCAAUUAUUCUUGCCAAUAAAAUCAUCAAGAUCAACUGGUUAAAUCAGUUCAAGAUUCAUAAUUGAUCAAUGUGAGUUAAAAUGGGUAAAUAAUGGGUUGAAAUGGGAUUCUUGGUGUAAUUUCAUCUAAUAUUGUAUCAAGAUCAGUCUGACUACGAGUCAGCUUUUACAGACAUUGCUUGGUUACAAUUGAUAUUUGCUGUCUAAGAUUGCCUGUUGCAUUGGAGCGCAUUUAUUAUGGCAAACACUUGAAUAUUUUGACUUCACUAAACAAUUUAAUGUUUCAAUUUGUAUUAUCUCAAGGAUUCAGGGCAAAUUACAUCAAUUACAAUGAAUUAAUGUAAACAGUGAAAUCGGGUUCAACCCAAUUUAACCUUCAACCCAAUCAUUAAUUUGUUGCUACAGACAUCUUACAUUCCAAUGUUAAUAUUUAAGGUUGUUUGCCUUAUGGUAUGAGAAUAAAUUGAAUUAA